AAUUAAAUUUAUUAAUAUAUUUUUUUUUUUUUUAUUUUUUAUAAAAAUAAUUUAUUUAUUUAAUGUUUUAGUAUUUAGUAAAAAUUAAUUUUUAGAUUUAUAGUUUAAUAGUAUUGUAAAAGAAAUUGUUAAAUUUUAUAAAGAAUUUUAUAGUACCUUUUGUAUCAGGGUUGAUUAAAAUUUUUAAUUUUUUUUUAAUUUCUCAAAAUUUAUAGAGUUAAUUUUAUUAUUAAUUUAUUGUGGUAAAAAUAUUUAUAAAAUAAUAUUAGUUUUGAAAUUUAAUUCGUUAUAUUAUAUUUAGUUAUUUAAGAUUUAAAUUUAAUUUAAAAUUUUAAAAGUUGUAUUAAUUUUAUUGAUUAAUAUUUUAAAUUUAAAUUAUUUUAGGGAUAAGCUUGAAAUUUUAAUAUAAUAAUUUAUUUAUUUUAAUAAUUUAUAGGAAUAGAAAUUUUUAUUUAAGUUUGUAAAAAUUUAUUAUUUAUUUAAUUUUAAUUUAUUAUAUUUAUAUUUAUUUUUAAUAUUAAAUUUUAUUAAUUAAUAUUUAAUUAAUAGUAAUAAUGAUUAAAUUAGUAUAAUAUAUAGAUUUAUAAAUUAUGAAUUCGGCAAAAAUUAUUUUCAUCUGUUUAACAAAAACAUUGUAUUAAGUUUAAUUUAAUAUAGGAUCUGCUCAAUGAUUUAUUAAAUAGCUGCAGUAUUUUGACUGUGCAAAGGUAGCAUAAUAAUUAGUCUUUUAAUUGAGGACUUGAAUGAAAGAUUUGAUGAGAAAUAGACUUUAUUAUUUAUAAAAUUAAAAUUUUAUUUUUAAGUAAAAAAGCUUAAAUUAUUUAAAGGGACGAUAAGACCCUAUAAAACUUUAUAAAUUUUGAUUUUAAUUUUUUUGGAUUCAUAAAUAUUUUAUAAUUAAAAUUUAUUUUAUUGGGGUGAUAAAAAAAAUUAUUAAACUUUUUUUAAAAUUUAACAUUAUUUAAUGAUUAGUUGAAUUAAAAUUUUUAAUUAAAGGAAAAAGUUACUUUAGGGAUAACAGCGUAAUUAAUUUUUUAAGUUCAAAUUUAAAAAUUAGUUUGCGACCUCGAUGUUGAAUUAAGAUUAAUCUUAGGUGCAAAAUUUUAAGUAUUAGGUCUGUUCGACCUUUAAAUUCUUACAUGAUUUGAGUUCAAACCGGUGUAAGCCAGGUUGGUUUCUAUCUUUUAUUAAUUGAAUUAUUUUAGUACGAAAGGAUUGAAUAAUUAAAUUAAAUUUUAUAUAAUGAAUUAAAAUAAUUUA
RNAcentral lists this ribosomal RNA (1260 nucleotides) under Aphis gossypii (cotton aphid). RNAcentral's name for it is "16S ribosomal RNA". The record is from RNAcentral. Lineage: Eukaryota; Metazoa; Arthropoda; Insecta; Hemiptera; Aphididae.